CGCGGCCUAUCAGCUUGUUGGUGGGGUAACGGCCUACCAAGGCGAUUACGGGUAGCCGGCCUGAGAGGGCGACCGGCCACACUGGGACUGAGACACGGCCCAGACUCCUGCGGGAGGCAGCAGUGGGGAAUAUUGCGCAAUGGGCGAAAGCCUGACGCAGCGACGCCGCGUGGGGGAUGACGGCCUUCGGGUUGUAAACCUCUUUUACCACCAACGCAGGCCCGGAGUUCUCUUCGGGUUGACGGUAGGUGGGGAAUAAGGACCGGCUAACUACGUGCCAGCAGCCGCGGUAAUACGUAGGGUCCGAGCGUUGUCCGGAAUUAUUGGGCGUAAAGAGCUCGUAGGCGGUGUGUCGCGUCGGUCGUGAAAACUUGGGGCUCAACCCCGAGCUUGCGGUCGAUACGGGCAUCACUGGAGUUCGGCAGGGGAGACUGGAAUUCCUGGUGUAGCGGUGAAAUGCGCAGAUAUCAGGAGGAACACCGGUGGCGAAGGCGGGUCUCUGGGCCGAUACUGACGCUGAGGAGCGAAAGCGUGGGGAGCGAACAGGAUUAGAUACCCUGGUAGUCCACGCCGUAAACGGUGGGCGCUAGGUGUGGGGGCCAUUCCACGGUCUCUGUGCCGCAGCUAACGCAUUAAGCGCCCCGCCUGGGGAGUACGG
This 658-nucleotide ribosomal RNA is filed under the name uncultured Actinomycetes bacterium. RNAcentral describes it as "bacterial SSU rRNA". It matches the Rfam family "Bacterial small subunit ribosomal RNA", at positions 232 to 885 of the family's 1533-position model. Lineage: Bacteria; Bacillati; Actinomycetota; Actinomycetes. The record is from RNAcentral.